Molecule: long non-coding RNA, 5280 nt
Organism: Rattus norvegicus (Norway rat)
Lineage: Eukaryota; Metazoa; Chordata; Mammalia; Rodentia; Muridae
Source: RefSeq, a predicted model, not a curated record
AAGUACACGCGUUCAAGAUAAAUUAGGCUGAGUGGACUCAAGAACAUAGAUCCAAUGGCUAGUAAAACUUUCUCUGGGACUUGGGGACCAGCCAAUUUGCACCCCUCCUCCCCAUAAAAAGAAACUGGGUUUUACGUGAUUUUGUUUACCCCCAAGUCUCCCAGACCUUGGGAUCCCCAGACUCAGGGAAUUGCGGUAAAACCACUGUCCACGUGCUCUCUGGUUGAAGUUUACUUUCGUGGAGAUUUACUUUUAAGCCAUUGCCAUACACUGGCCAUGAGAAGUCAGCAGAAGAUCCCACGUUUAUUCUGUUGACAUCCUCUAACCUUGAGAAAUAGCCCAUUUAUAUUAUCACGCUUUGAUGUAUUUCCCAUUUGCGGAGCUUCUUUGAGGCAGGUGCGGAAUCCAGGACCUCAUGCACGCUGACCAAGCGCCACUUCUCAGGUAUACACUUGGCAAGUUCAUUUUUUCUUAAAUGAACGGGCUUAAUUUUGUGCUAGUCAAAGAGGAAAGAAGGAGACGCCGUGACAGAAUAAGGCUGAGCAGCAAAAAGCCAACCAGAACUGUAGAAAAGACGUGGGGAGAGAAACUGAAAUGAAGAACCAAAUACCGAGAGAUUCAAGUCCUCCAACAGACUCCAGGCUGGGCAGCAGGUGGGAUUAAUGCUAACCAGGAAGGACAUGUUUGCUUAAUUACCUAAUUGUCUUCAGGUUUGCAUUAUCUUCCUGAGCUGGAAGCUUCUUUCUGGACUCUGAUGUGAAUUGCUUUUCAGGGAACACUCCCUACGUGGCUGGAAGGAAGAUGCGAGCCCCAUGCGGGAGGAGCAUGGAUAGAACCUUUCCUGUUUGUUCACUCCCUUCUGCCUUUUCAGCUUCUGAGGGACGUGUCUCUCCCACCCAUGCAGCACCCUAGAUUCUCACUCACCUGGCUGGUCUGGUACAGAGGGUCUCUUGGAUAAGAGAGUGGUACAGGUUUCCCAGUGAACAGCUUAGCCUUGGGGGAGGGAUGUACCUUGGUGGAAAUGAACAGGACGAAUUCCCAGGAUCAGUUCCACAAAGAGAAACAAACUGGAGUUAAAUGAACAAAACAGAUGUUAGCCUCAAAUCCUUGGCACCUUAAAGAAAAGAGACGGGCGAUGGCGGUGGGUGCAGCUCAGGACUCUAGGUUCUUUUGUGGUGUCUGAAGGGGCUAUAUUCAGGAACUUACGGGUGGCAGAUGGGACAUUAGAAUUUCCUGUUACAUGAGACAUUGGAACAGUUUGCAAACUAAGAGAAAGCCCAUGUCACCCCCUUCCCCCCAUUCCUCAACCCCUGUGUUUCCUCUCACAAAUCCACUGGUGGAGAUGGCUACAGAGACUGAUGGCAUUCACUUAAGCAGAAGUAUUGUCUGCCCAGGGUUUGCUCACUUUAAGGGCCAAACCCAAACAGUGGCACUCUCCUGGAAUCAACUUCCUUGUUUGCUCCACACACCCAGGACCCUGUCAUCCAACGGCUGGUCAGAUGGUCUAGGUUUUGUGCAUGAAGACAAGAACAGCCCUCCUAGAUCCCCAAACAAAGCAAAUGCCCUCUACAGGAAGAGUGCUUUCCCAGGGCCAAGUAAGGGCUAAGCAUGGCUUUGCUGUAGCCCCUGUGCCACCACUUUGUACCUUCUUGGGUACUUUACUGCUCUCGUGCACCGAGGCAGCAGCUCUCGAUGCACACACACAGUCUCUAGGAGUCUAGCACUGGCUGUAGAGUACAAGCUGGCUUCAAACCUAAAGUGAUCCCGUUGCUUCUGCUUCUCCAAUGCUGUGAUUUCAAUGCCUAACUGUGGUGAGUCCUGAAUGGGAAAUGUUCUAUAAAACAUGGCAAAUGCAUGGAAGCCAGGAGCUGGCUUUGUGUAGUUGCUCUUCUAAAAUAGACAUCGAAUGGCAAUCCAUAUGAAGAAAAAAACAUGCGUUACCAGAAAUGGACAAGUGCAUUUUUUAUUUGGUAUGUGCUUCUGUGAGCUGUACAUACAUGUACAUGGGAGGGACAUGCCCAUACAUCCCCAUCACUCUCUCUUUCAUUUCCUUGAGACAAGAUCUCUCGAUUCACUUAGACUAGCAGCCAGCUAAGCCCUAGUGACCCUCCUGUCUCUGCCCCUAAUCUAGCAUUGGGGUUACAGGCAUAGACUGGCCUGAGUCAUCUUUGUAACCCAUUGUUUUACAUACUUUGGUUGUGUGCAUUGGACUUAAAUCUUGGCUCAUCCACAUGACCGUGUAGAAGUCCCUUAAAUGCUUGUGACUUGUUUUCUCAAUUCAGAAACUGAGCGGAAGUAUAGUGCCCAUCUCCAAGUGUCAGCGAAAACUAGAAAUUAUAAUGUAAUCACAGGGGGUAUAGAAAGAGUUCAGCAUUCGGUGGCAUCCUGCCGUCAUGGAUGUGGUAGUGACACUGUCAUGGCCACCCAGUGUUGACGUGGUCAUAAUGUUGCCAUGGCUGAAUGUCCAAACUCAGAGAAGUGUUUGAAUUUUACUCUUGAAGAAAGACCUGCUGGGGAAACAAAAGAAAACUCAUAGAACAUGGAUGAGAGAAAAGUCCAGGUGAGACAGAGCGGUAAUGGCGGGCAAUGGUGUGAAGCCUUGAGCUCUUCUCUGUGGUAAGAGGAGCUGGUACGAACCACAAAGCUGCAAUCCUGAGCAUUUGAUGUCUUUUACCCACUGUCCUUUCUGCUGGUCCAGGAGGCUGAUGUUGGAUGCUUUUCUCUUUGUGCCUAGUAACAAUUGUCUGCAGGAGGGAAUUCCAAAGGGCCAGACUCCUUUGCUGCUAGAACAAUCUAGAGCCAAUGCUGUGUUGCAGGAGUCCCAAGUGUGCAGUCUAUGUGAAAGAAAUGGAAGAGAAGGCAGAAGGAACAGAAAGCCCAUGCUCUUUAUACCCUCUCUCCUCACUAAAACAUGCCGUAGAGCAGCAGUUCUCAAUCUGUGGGUUGUGACCCCCACAGGGGUCACAUAUCAGAUAUCCUGUAUAUUGUAUAUUUACAUUAAGAGUCAUAACAGUAUCAAAGUCACAGUUAUGAAGCAGCAGUGAAAUAAUUCUAUAUUUGAGGGUUACCAACACAUGAGGGACCAUAUUCAGGGGUCACAGCAUUAGGAAGGUUGAGAACCAUUGUCUUAGCGUAUCUGGAUCCACCAUUAUGGGUUUAAUUAUUGCCCUUCCCAAAUAAUACAUUAAAAUUCAAGCAUCCAAAUUAACAGAGUCUCACUUUCCUGGAGAUAGGGUCUAAAACAGAUUAAGGGAUUUGGGGACAAGAUCUUAUCGAGCUAAAUUUAGACCCAGGCUUGGUGGUACACACCUUUAAUCCCAGGAGACAAAGCCAAACAGAUAUCUGAGUUCAAGGCCAGCCUGGGACAAAGCAGGUUUUCCGUGAAGGAAAGUUUAAAUCCAGGCAUGAUUGUACACGCCUUUAAUCCCAGCAUUACAGGAGACAGAGCCAUACAGAUUUCUGAGUUCAAGGUCAAAUUACAGAGCAAGUUCCAGGACGGGCAAGCUUAGGCAGAGAGGGAGUUGGAAAACAGAAAACUGGCAAGAGAAUAUGGAGUGGGUGGGGGAGUGUGUUCCAGCCCCAGGAAACAGCACAACAGGACAGCUUUGGCCAUGUGGCUCGGGCCAAGGGACUACUGGGACAAUUGAUACUGUCUAGCUGGAACUAAGAAUUCAGUGAUUAAGAAGAGACCAGCUUAUCACUGAGGUGAAAUCUUCUGGGAAAUGUUUUCUGAGAGCUCAAAGAAGCUGUGUUCCAGAGAUGGCCAAGGGUUUAUAACUCACGCCGCAGCUGUACUUGGUAAUGUCAGACUCACCCAGGUGGUACUGGUUGUGAAGGCCUGAAGGGAUCAUGAAGAGCAGCUGAGGCUUGACACUGUGAGAGGCCACAGAAGGCCACUGGUGAAGGUGCAACCUCAGAGGCAGUUGAUAGCCCAGGACUGACGGGGUCAUGCAAAAUAGUUGAGGCUUGGCACCAUGAAGAGAGCCUCUAAAGGCUAUUAGUGAAGCCUAGUUGUAGCAGAAGACUCCAGCGUACUGAAGAUGCCAGUACCACGGCAUGACACCAAGAGCAACAUAGCAGCAGAGUGGAUCAACCUGAGCUUAGAGUGCUACAGAGGCAGAGCUGGAGAAGUGACACUAACCCUUUGGAGGAGCUCAGAAGAUCAUAUAUCGAUCCCAGACAUUGAAACAAGAAGGUCUCCACUACGAUUGACAUUUCUAUGAAAUGGGACAUUCAUACAAUUCAUACAAUGAAUACAGUGUAACAAGAUACAAAGAGACGAGAGUCACCAACAAACCAGGGAGAGAUGGGAACCAGGUUCUCCUCUCACAGCCAUCAGAAGGAAUCAACUGCCAACUCUGACUUUGAAUUUUCAGAUUGCCACUGUGUGAGGACACAACUGCUGCUUUCACCUCCUAGUCCAUGGCUCUUUGUCACUGCAUCUCUGUUGAACUGAUCUGUGGUAUUUCCUACAUCUUGGGUUGUUUCAUGGAUACACUCCGAUGUGUCCACUGACUACCUAAUAGAAUCCCUCAAGGGUGUAGAUUGACAGCAUAACCCCCCACAGGCAAAUGAAAUGGAUCAUGUAGCAUGGUUUGCAGUGGCAAGCAUGGGGGCUGCAAUUUGGGUAUUUGUCUAUGUAUUCGCCUCACAUGUAUGUAGAUAUUAGAGAGUGAAUGGAUUAUCUGAAUUAUGAAACCAUAGACAAGUUUAAUAGAGCACCUAUAGCCACCCUUCUCUAGAUUCAACUGUACAGCUUCAGUUAAGGUCAACAGAGUCCAGACAGUCCAAGAUGGCGUCACCCACAAGUCUGGCAGUGGGUACUGCCUGGACUUUGCACGUCAGUCAUAGGGCUCCGAAGAGCUUUAUGUGCUUCUUCAAUGGGUUCCUCCAGACAGUUUCCCAGAAGUGAGACCGGCCGUGCACAACUUUAACUUCUGCCUGAGUUUUAGAGACAAGUAUUCCCUUAACAAAUAUUAUGUCUACUGCUCUGUACAGAGUAAUUCCCCUUUGUGAAUGUCGCCUAUCCCUCGUGUUCAAGUGUGGAAAACAGCCAGCUGCACUGUCUACCUGAGUGCAUUCAAUCAACUCCUAAAUUAAGUAGUUCCCGUGGGAAUGUAACUCAGUGUUUGUGUCCCAAGACUCAUGGACCAUGCAUUUGUUAGGUGGGUUUCAUCCUCAUUACAAAACACAUCCCAGGGCUCCUACUUGGAGAAAGCAGAGAGCAAGCAUUUUGCCUUAAUUAUAUUCGUAUCAUAUUAAAAGAAAAACAAAACAAAA